AUACUCACCUGGCAGGGGAGACACCGUGAUCACGCAGCUGGUUUUCGCAGAGUAAGGUUCAUUCUUAUCACUCCAGGUGUGCUGACCCCUGUGCUUUUCCCAAAUGCGGGGAGCUCGACUGCAUCGUUUGCAGUAACGGGGGACUCUGUUUGCACUCUUCCUUG
This is a small nuclear RNA of Malurus melanocephalus (red-backed fairy wren), 164 nucleotides long. RefSeq annotates it as U1 spliceosomal RNA. The record is from RefSeq and is a predicted model, not a curated record. The transcript has a single exon. NCBI's taxonomy places the organism in Eukaryota, Metazoa, Chordata, Aves, Passeriformes, Maluridae.